UCAAUCUCCGGCAGCGUCGCCGACGGCUACUCCUGUUACGGCUCAUAGUCCGGCCACUCCUGCUGUGGCCACUCCACCUGCUUCUUCACCUGCGGCUGCUGCCCCCACCAAAUCUAAAACGCCGGCUCCGGUCACGGCUCCCACUUCGUCACCACCUACGGCAGUUUCCUCUCCGCCAGCUAGCUCUCCCGUGUCAUCUCCUCCUACUCCGGCUGUGCCAACGCCUGCCUCGUCACCGGUGGCUGUGACUCCGGUCAGCUCGCCACCUGCUCCGGUUCCGGUCAGCUCUCCACCUUUGCUCCCGCCUGCGAAAUCUCCUCCUGUUCCGGCGCCGGCAAACCCCCCCGCGGCUUCUCCUCCGGCUCCGGUUUCUUCGCCUCCUGCAGAGACUCCGGCUGCAGAGGUUCCGUCACCUGCUCCGAGCAAGAAGAAGACUAAGAAGCUCAAAUCGCCGGCCCCUGCUCCGGCGCCGGAGGCGCUGAGUCCUCCUGCACCGCCGACCGAAGCUCCCGGACCGAGUUAUGAUGCGACCUCACCCUCUCCGUCUCUGCCAGAUGAGGUACGUUAUGCUAGUUUUUCUAUCCAUGGCUGAAGUCUAACAUGCGCUGGAGUACAAUGUGCAUCCAGAUCUGGAACUUUGCUAAAACAAAUCCACAGCACUGCUCACUUCUUCAUUGACACGAUUUACCGCUUCAGUUACAUCCUCUCUGUCCUUUUCUUCCUUUUUUUCCAAAGGUCAAUUUAAAUAAGUUCAUUAGACUACAUAUUAGAUUUUCUAAAAACCAAACCGCGCGGCGUAUGAACUGAAGAUUGAUUGGCGGAGCAGGUUUUAUUGCUUCACCUAAUAUCUUCAAAGCAUGGUAGGCAAAGUCCUUCCUGAAUCUUAAAUUUACAGCUCUAUGUUGUACGAGCCAAUAGUCAGAGCUAUGUGA
RNAcentral lists this long non-coding RNA (932 nucleotides) under Vitis vinifera (wine grape). Its description in RNAcentral is "long non-coding RNA (VVIN_LNC002249)". Lineage: Eukaryota; Viridiplantae; Streptophyta; Magnoliopsida; Vitales; Vitaceae. The record is from RNAcentral.